RNAcentral lists this long non-coding RNA (1046 nucleotides) under Oncorhynchus mykiss (rainbow trout). RNAcentral describes it as "lncRNA (ENSOMYG00000053885.1)". Lineage: Eukaryota; Metazoa; Chordata; Actinopteri; Salmoniformes; Salmonidae. The record is from RNAcentral.
CAGCAUGUCUCCCACAUAGUCUGCAAUAUGGAGGGCAGCACUCAGCAUGUCUCCCCCAUAGUCGGCAAUAUGGAGGGCAGCUCUCAGCAUGUCUCCCACAAAGUCUGUAAUGUGGAGGGCAGCUCUCAGCAUGUCUCCCACAUAGUCUCCCAUGUGGAGGGCAGCUCUUAGCAUGUUCCCACAUAGUAUCCAAUAUGGAUGGCAGCUCUUAGCAUGUCUCCCAUGUAGUCUGUAAUGUCGAGGGCAGCUCUCAGCAUGUCUCCCACAAAGUCUGUAAUAUGAGGGCAGCUCUCUGGAUUUCUACCACAGUCUCCAAUAAGGAGGGCAGCUCUCAGCAUGUCUCCCACAUAGUCUGUAAUAUGGAGGGCAGCUCUCAGCAUGUCUCCCACAUAGUCUGUAAUAUGCAGGGCAGCUCUCAGCAUGUCUCCGACAUAGUCUCAAAUAUGGAGGGCAGCUCUCAGCAUGUCUCCCACAUAGUCUGGAAAUUGGAGGGCAGUUCUCAGCACUUCUCCAUAAUAGUCUGUAAUAUGGAGGGCAGCUCUCAGCAUGUCUCCCACAUAGUCUGUAAUAUGGAGGGCAGCUCUCAGUAUGUCUCCCCUAUAGUCUAUAAUAUGGAGGGCAGCUCUCAGCAUGUCUCCCACAUAGUCUGUAAUAUGGAGGGCAGCUCUCAGCAUGUCUCCCACAUAGUCUGUAAUAUGAAGGGCAGCUCUCAGCAUGUCUCCCACAAAGUCUCUAAUAUGGAGGGCAGCUCUCAUCAUGUCUCCCACAUAGUCUCCAAUAUGGAGGGCAGCUCUCAGCAUGUCUCCCACAUAGUCUGUAAUAUGGAGGGCAGCUCACAGCAUGUCUCCCUCAUAGUCUGUAAUAUGGAGGGCAGCUCUCAGCAUGUCUCCCACAUAGUUUCCAAUAUGGGGGGCAGCUCUCAGCUUGUCUCCCACAUAGUAUGUAAUAUGGAUGGUAGCUCUCAGCAUAGUCUCCCACAUAGUGUCAGGAUUUGGCCAGGGUUGUUCCGGUUUUUGGUCACUAGAUGCCCCCAUUGUGCUUUUUGA